RNAcentral lists this ribosomal RNA (474 nucleotides) under Staphylococcus aureus. Its description in RNAcentral is "bacterial SSU rRNA". It matches the Rfam family "Bacterial small subunit ribosomal RNA", at positions 202 to 668 of the family's 1533-position model. Lineage: Bacteria; Bacillati; Bacillota; Bacilli; Caryophanales; Staphylococcaceae. The record is from RNAcentral.
GACGGUCUUGCUGUCACUUAUAGAUGGAUCCGCGCUGCAUUAGCUAGUUGGUAAGGUAACGGCUUACCAAGGCAACGAUGCAUAGCCGACCUGAGAGGGUGAUCGGCCACACUGGAACUGAGACACGGUCCAGACUCCUACGGGAGGCAGCAGUAGGGAAUCUUCCGCAAUGGGCGAAAGCCUGACGGAGCAACGCCGCGUGAGUGAUGAAGGUCUUCGGAUCGUAAAACUCUGUUAUUAGGGAAGAACAUAUGUGUAAGUAACUGUGCACAUCUUGACGGUACCUAAUCAGAAAGCCACGGCUAACUACGUGCCAGCAGCCGCGGUAAUACGUAGGUGGCAAGCGUUAUCCGGAAUUAUUGGGCGUAAAGCGCGCGUAGGCGGUUUUUUAAGUCUGAUGUGAAAGCCCACGGCUCAACCGUGGAGGGUCAUUGGAAACUGGAAAACUUGAGUGCAGAAGAGGAAAGUGGAAUU